CCCUUAUCCCUAAUCUGAUGAUUCCGAUCCCUAAUCCCCCAGUGGCUCAGUCCAUCGAUCUCUCGACCACUCCCUCAGUCUCUCUCUCUCUCGAACCCUCAGCCUCUCAUACUCUUGGUCAGUUGGUCCAACCUGCAAACCCUAAUCCCUAAUCCGAUCCCUAAUCCCUCAGUGGGUCAGUCCAUCUCUCGACCACUCCCUCAGUCUCUCUCUCUCUCUGGAGUCUGGAGAACUCGAAGGAGGACAACCACCUGAUAUGACAGUUUGAGGGAGAAGAAGGCAAAGUUAAUGGGUUGAACUUUGAAGGACUCUGAAUUGUGGCUCUCGAUGGUGGAACUCUGCCUGCCAGCAAGACAGAUAUUCAAUUGAAGGUGUUCCAAUCUCAAGUUCUCAACAAUUCAAGAAUUCUUACAAUUAAGGCUUAGAAGUUAGAACUGGAGCAACGUAGGAGCACUGCAGUUGGUCGGUUGAGAGGGAAAAUGCUUUUAAUCAAGGAAUGGAGUCAACAUUGACGAAUCUCAGCUCUACACAAGCUGAUGCAUAGCAGGCAACAGCCAACAUCAAACUUUGACUCUUUGAGUGAGGCAGGGAGCACAACAAGCAAGUAUGAAGUGACGAUGAGAUGAAAUUUGAGUCUUUGAAAGUUUGAAUACUUUGUUUUCAACUGUUGUCCGCUUUGUUAUUGUAUGAUUCAUUCAUUUGUGUGAACUGUAAGUGAUGAUAUGAAUUAUGAAGUGAUGAUAAGAUGAAGUGAUGAACUGUAAGUGAUGAUAUGAACUAUGAAGUGUUGAACUGA
Rosa rugosa (rugosa rose) is the source of this 796-nucleotide long non-coding RNA. RefSeq lists it as uncharacterized. NCBI's taxonomy places the organism in Eukaryota, Viridiplantae, Streptophyta, Magnoliopsida, Rosales, Rosaceae. The transcript is spliced from 5 exons. The record is from RefSeq and is a predicted model, not a curated record.